GACGAGCGCUGGCGGCGUGCUUAACACAUGCAAGUCGAACGAUGAAGCCUAGCUUGCUAGGUGGAUUAGUGGCGAACGGGUGAGUAAUACGUGAGUAACCUACCUUUAACUCUGGGAUAAGCCCGGGAAACUGGGUCUAAUACCGGAUACGACCAAUCUCCGCAUGGGGUGUUGGUGGAAAGCGUUAUGUAGUGGUUAUAGAUGGGCUCACGGCCUAUCAGCUUGUUGGUGAGGUAACGGCUCACCAAGGCGACGACGGGUAGCCGGCCUGAGAGGGUGACCGGCCACACUGGGACUGAGACACGGCCCAGACUCCUACGGGAGGCAGCAGUGGGGAAUAUUGCACAAUGGGCGCAAGCCUGAUGCAGCGACGCCGCGUGAGGGAUGACGGCCUUCGGGUUGUAAACCUCUGUUAGCAGGGAAGAAGAGAGAUUGACGGUACCUGCAGAGAAAGCGCCGGCUAACUACGUGCCAGCAGCCGCGGUAAUACGUAGGGCGCGAGCGUUGUCCGGAAUUAUUGGGCGUAAAGAGCUUGUAGGCGGUUUGUCGCGUCUGCUGUGAAAGGCCCGGGGCUUAACCCCGUGUAUUGCAGUGGGUACGGGCAGACUAGAGUGCAGUAGGGGAGACUGGAAUUCCUGGUGUAGCGGUGGAAUGCGCAGAUAUCAGGAGGAACACCGAUGGCGAAGGCAGGUCUCUGGGCUGUAACUGACGCUGAGAAGCGAAAGCAUGGGGAGCGAACAGGAUUAGAUACCCUGGUAGUCCAUGCCGUAAACGUUGGGCACUAGGUGUGGGGGACAUUCCACGUUUUCCGCGCCGUAGCUAACGCAUUAAGUGCCCCGCCUGGGGAGUACGGCCGCAAGGCUAAAACUCAAAGAAAUUGACGGGGGCCCGCACAAGCGGCGGAGCAUGCGGAUUAAUUCGAUGCAACGCGAAGAACCUUACCAAGGCUUGACAUAUACUGGACCGCAUCAGAGAUGGUGUUUCCCUUCGGGGCUGGUAUACAGGUGGUGCAUGGUUGUCGUCAGCUCGUGUCGUGAGAUGUUGGGUUAAGUCCCGCAACGAGCGCAACCCUCGUUCUAUGUUGCCAGCACGUUAUGGUGGGGACUCAUAGGAGACUGCCGGGGUCAACUCGGAGGAAGGUGGGGAUGACGUCAAAUCAUCAUGCCCCUUAUGUCUUGGGCUUCACGCAUGCUACAAUGGCCGGUACAGAGGGUUGCGAUACUGUGAGGUGGAGCUAAUCCCUAAAAGCCGGUCUCAGUUCGGAUUGGGGUCUGCAACUCGACCCCAUGAAGUCGGAGUCGCUAGUAAUCGCAGAUCAGCAACGCUGCGGUGAAUAAGUUCCCGGGCCU
RNAcentral lists this ribosomal RNA (1349 nucleotides) under uncultured bacterium. RNAcentral describes it as "bacterial SSU rRNA". It matches the Rfam family "Bacterial small subunit ribosomal RNA", at positions 28 to 1381 of the family's 1533-position model. The record is from RNAcentral.